GGGCCCGCACAAGCGGUGGAGCAUGUGGUUUAAUUCGAUGAUACGCGAGGAACCUUACCAGGACUUAAAUGUAAGUUGCAUGAUUCAGAAAUGAAUCUUUCUUCGGACUACUUACAAGGUGCUGCAUGGUUGUCGUCAGCUCGUGCCGUGAGGUGUCAGGUUAAGUCCUAUAACGAGCGCAACCCCUAUCGUUAGUUGCCAUCAAGUAAAGUUGGGAACUCUAGCGAAACUGCCGGUGCAAACCGUGAGGAAGGUGGGGAUGACGUCAAAUCAUCACGGCCCUUACGUUCUGGGCUACACACGUGCUACAAUGGCCGGUACAGAAAGCAGCCACUAUGCGAAUAGGAGCUAAUCUUUAAAACCGGUCUCAGUUCGGAUCGCAGUCUGCAACUCGACUGCGUGAAGCUGGAAUCGCUAGUAAUCGCAGGU
Molecule: ribosomal RNA, 429 nt
Filed under: uncultured bacterium
Lineage: Bacteria
Description: bacterial SSU rRNA
Rfam family: Bacterial small subunit ribosomal RNA
Source: RNAcentral